Molecule: non-coding RNA, 1343 nt
Organism: Chiloscyllium plagiosum (whitespotted bambooshark)
Lineage: Eukaryota; Metazoa; Chordata; Chondrichthyes; Orectolobiformes; Hemiscylliidae
Source: RefSeq, a predicted model, not a curated record
UCUUCAGAUAUUUUGAGGGGUCCUGGUGUGGUCCCUAACACCAGAGAGCUGGAAAACCGACCAUCUCCAAACGUACUGCUGAUCCCUCCAUUCACACACUGACGAGGAUAUCUGGUCAGUGUGGGCAAGUUGGACUGAACACGCACACUUGUUGUGUGACUCUUUAACUCUUUGACUCCAUCCCCUCAAACCUAUGACCUGAUAUUCUGCAAACAACACAUGACCUCUCCCCAGCACCAACACCAGCUCACCGCCUCCAGACGUCUGUCAGACUCGCAGUGCAUCACCCUGGACAGACAACUGGGACACAACACAGAACUCCACAACUGGAUCCCUAACAAGGUCCCCUCACCAGCCCAUUGUGGCACCCAAACCCCAUUCCAUUGGUACUCAACAUCCCCAACACUCACCAGUGAGUUCCCAAACUGCCCCUUGCCCAACCACUGAGGAAGUGCCUUCUGGGUACCUAACUACACCCCUCCAACCAUUCACUCACUCCUUCACCUCACCCCAGGCCGAUCUACCCCACCAGCACUAGUAAGGACAGGACACAGAGAUAUUGGGGAGAAUGGGAACUGAACUGUCUGGGGAGGUAACCCCCAGGACAGGUACAACACGAUGUUUAUACCCCUAUCAAUGGGAUCCUUGGUGACUUCACUGGAGAGUGAAAUCGGGAGCAUUUCAGCCAAUCCCAACAAUUCCCAACAGCUCGGAGCAGUUAUAAUUGUUCCCAAUCAACACAGGGUUAGAAAUAAAUCCAGGAACAGAGAGAAUCCUGAUAUAUUUCCAAUGUGUUUCAGAAAAUCUGAAAAGCAAUUGGCCACACUCCCAACUUGGAAGUCUAAUUGCAUCAAUGGUCAUUCUAUUGGCUGUUAUUGUCGGGAUAGUCGGAAUAAUCAUCUGGAAAAGGUCACAGAGAGGUUCACCAAAUGUGACUUACACAACAGCUCCCAGUAAGUGGCUGAGGGGACAGAGUGUUGGGAAUGAUGGAUAAGCUUCUGAUAUCUCUGGUGCAGCUUCUUCAUGAUUCAAUUGAGCAGUGGAUCCCAGAUCCCCAGGUUUGGGUCCUGAUUCUUCAAGUGAGACCUUCUCAAGUCGUGUUUCCAUCCCGUCUCAGAAAUGUGAGCAGUGUCACCGUCAGAGGGAUCUUCACGGAUGGUUCCUCACUCACACUUUCUCAUCCUCACUGUCUUCAGUGGGUCACUGAUUGACCUGAAAUGAAGCAACAUCCCGAGGCAACUCAGAGGCAAUUUUUAUGUUGAAGGAAUUGAUUUUGCAUCUGACGUUAACAAAUUUCAAAUGUUAUGUAAAUCUCUGUACAUAAAUAUCAGUUUUACAUAUUC